UAUUUCAUGUCAUGCCUCAUAGGAUGAAGAUGAAGAAAUUCAAUUCAAUUAAUUGAAUUUAAAUUUUUUUCUAAUAUCAGCUUAUAUCUGGAUAUCCCCUGACUCCACUUUUGCGACCACUGCUGGACAAAUUUGGCACCAUUACCUCACUAUAGGACCCAUGUUGCGUCCAGAACCACAGAGCUUCACCUGAAAUCUUUGUUGGAUGACACCUAGUGGUAAAAGUCAGCAAACCUGCAGUUGUAUCUUCAGGAGAACAUCCCCUAAACUAAAUAGACAGUAUUUAUAUAUGUCAUUAUCAGUAUGUAAAUAAAUGAGUGUUAAAUAUAAGUGAAAGUAACAAUGGGAUACAUUCAUCACCCAGAACCAAAAAUGUUGAUGUUUUAAUUGACUUUGAAUUAUUUGUGCUGGACGUUUUGUCUCCAUCAAACUAAAGAAAACUAUUUGCUCUGGAAAUGGUUCAUUAUUUUCUCUGCCAUGAUGAUUAUGUUUCUUAUUCUGUUACCAAAUGUUUGUUAAGAGGUUUUAGUGGCACUACUGAAAAUUUGAAUAUAAACCAAAGAAAUGAUCUUC
Seriola aureovittata is the source of this 573-nucleotide long non-coding RNA. RefSeq lists it as uncharacterized. The transcript is spliced from 3 exons. The record is from RefSeq and is a predicted model, not a curated record. Lineage: Eukaryota; Metazoa; Chordata; Actinopteri; Carangiformes; Carangidae.